RNAcentral lists this ribosomal RNA (268 nucleotides) under Neobacillus niacini. RNAcentral's name for it is "partial 16S ribosomal RNA". It matches the Rfam family "Bacterial small subunit ribosomal RNA", at positions 1 to 259 of the family's 1533-position model. The record is from RNAcentral. Lineage: Bacteria; Bacillati; Bacillota; Bacilli; Caryophanales; Bacillaceae.
UUCUUGGAGAGUUUGAUCCUGGCUCAGGACGAACGCUGGCGGCGUGCCUAAUACAUGCAAGUCGAGCGAAUCUUUGGGAGCUUGCUCCCAUUGGUUAGCGGCGGACGGGUGAGUAACACGUGGGCAACCUGCCUGUAAGACUGGGAUAACACCGGGAAACCGGUGCUAAUACCGGAUAAUCCUUUUCCUCUCAUGAGGAAAAGCUGAAAGUCGGUUUCGGCUGAUACUUACAGAUGGGCCCGCGGCGCAUUAGCUAGUUGGUGAGGUA